RNAcentral lists this ribosomal RNA (253 nucleotides) under uncultured bacterium. Its description in RNAcentral is "partial 16S ribosomal RNA". It matches the Rfam family "Bacterial small subunit ribosomal RNA", at positions 524 to 776 of the family's 1533-position model. The record is from RNAcentral.
UACGAAGGGUGCUAGCGUUGUUCGGAAUUAUUGGGCGUAAAGCGUACGUAGGCGGCUUGGUAAGUCGAGUGUGAAAGCCCUAAGCUCAACUUAGGAAUUGCAAUCGAAACUGCCUCGCUAGAGUUUGGUGGGGGAUGGCAGAAUUUCUAGUGUAGGGGUGAAAUCCGUAGAUAUUAGAAGGAAUACCAGUGGCGAAGGCGGCCAUCUAUGCCAAUACUGACGCUAAGGUACGAAAGCGUGGGGAGCAAACAGG